RNAcentral lists this ribosomal RNA (408 nucleotides) under uncultured bacterium. RNAcentral's name for it is "bacterial SSU rRNA". It matches the Rfam family "Bacterial small subunit ribosomal RNA", at positions 509 to 916 of the family's 1533-position model. The record is from RNAcentral.
CAGCAGCCGCGGUAAUACGGAGGGUGCGAGCGUUAAUCGGAAUUACUGGGCGUAAAGCGCGCGUAGGUGGUUUGUUAAGUCAGCUGUGAAAGCCCCGGGCUCAACCUGGGAACUGCAGUUGAUACUGGCCGACUAGAGUACGAGAGAGGGAGGUAGAAUUCCAUGUGUAGCGGUGAAAUGCGUAGAUAUAUGGAGGAAUACCGGUGGCGAAGGCGGCCUCCUGGCUCGAUACUGACGCUGAGGUGCGAAAGCGUGGGGAUCAAACAGGAUUAGAUACCCUGGUAGUCCACGCCGUAAACGAUGUCUACUAGCCGUUGGGAGACUUGAUUUCUUAGUGGCGCAGCUAACGCAAUAAGUAGACCGCCUGGGGAGUACGGCCGCAAGGUUAAAACUCAAAGGAAUUGACGG